UCCUACGGGACGCAGCAGUGGGGAAUAUUGCGCAAUGGGGGAAACCCUGACGCAGCAACGCCGCGUGAGUGAAGAAGGCCUUCGGGUUGUAAAGCUCUUUCCUCAGGGACGAAGAAUGACGGUACCUGAAGAAUAAGCUCCGGCUAACUACGUGCCAGCAGCCGCGGUAAUACGUAGGUGGCAAGCGUUAUCCGGAUUUAUUGGGUGUAAAGGGCGUGUAGGCGGGAUUGCAAGU
RNAcentral lists this ribosomal RNA (235 nucleotides) under uncultured bacterium. Its description in RNAcentral is "partial 16S ribosomal RNA". It matches the Rfam family "Bacterial small subunit ribosomal RNA", at positions 337 to 588 of the family's 1533-position model. The record is from RNAcentral.